AUACGGAGGGUGCAAGCGUUAUUCGGAAUCACUGGGCGUAAAGGACGCGUAGGCGGGUUGGCAAGUCAGAUGUGAAAUCCUACAGCUUAACUGUAGAACUGCAUUUGAAACUGCUAACCUAGAGUAUGGGAGGGGGAGAUGGAAUUAGUGGUGUAGGGGUAAAAUCCGUAGAUAUCACUAGGAAUACCGAAAGCGAAGGCGAUCUCCUGGAACAUAACUGACGCUAAGGCGUGAAAGCGUGCGGAGCAAACAGGAUUAGAAACCCCAGUAGUCC
This 274-nucleotide ribosomal RNA is filed under the name uncultured bacterium. RNAcentral describes it as "partial 16S ribosomal RNA". It matches the Rfam family "Bacterial small subunit ribosomal RNA", at positions 523 to 796 of the family's 1533-position model. The record is from RNAcentral.